ACGCUCGACACCUACGGGAGGCAGCAGUGGGGAAUAUUGCACAAUGGAGGAAACUCUGAUGCAGCGAUGCCGCGUGAGGGAAGAAGGUUUUUCGGAUUGUAAACCUCUGUCUUUGGGGACGAUAAUGACGGUACCCAAGGAGGAAGCUCCGGCUAACUACGUGCUAGCAGCCGCGGUAAUCUGAGCGGGCUGGCAAGGC
This 199-nucleotide ribosomal RNA is filed under the name uncultured bacterium. RNAcentral describes it as "partial 16S ribosomal RNA". It matches the Rfam family "Bacterial small subunit ribosomal RNA", at positions 328 to 539 of the family's 1533-position model. The record is from RNAcentral.